GUUGUCUGCUCAUAUGUUUUGGAAUAUUGUGAAGAACUCCAAUGAUAUACAUGUAGGGGCAUGUGUCCAAAGCUGAUCCACAUCAUAACAUACUGAUUGGGAAUAAUGACAUAGUACCAAAAGAUGUGCUUAUACUGUAAUUAGCAGAUCUUCACAAAUGAACCUGGCAGAUCUUGGUGCAACCUUACCUUACCAUGUUUACAUCUAACCGUCAGUUUGAGCUGUGUGUGGGUGGUAACACGGACUAUAUACAUGUAUUGCC
Molecule: long non-coding RNA, 262 nt
Organism: Dreissena polymorpha
Lineage: Eukaryota; Metazoa; Mollusca; Bivalvia; Myida; Dreissenidae
Exons: 3
Source: RefSeq, a predicted model, not a curated record